GGAUUUGCAAAAGAUGGUUCAGUCUUUACCUCAAUACAGUGAACAAAUUGAGAAGCUCUCCCUUCAUGUUGAUAUUGCCGGGAAGCUAAACAGAAUUAUCAGGGAGUCAAGUCUAAAAGAAAUUGGCCAAUUAGAGCAGGACCUUGUUUUCGGAGAUGCAGGAACUAAAGAUUUGAUCAAUUUCCUGAGGGUUCAUCAGGAUGUGACACGGGAAAGCAAGUUACGCUUAUUGAUGAUUUAUGCGUCCAUUCAUCCUGAGAAGUUUGAAAGUGACAAACUUUCCAAGUUAAUGGAGUUAGCGAGAUUGCCCCAAGAUGACAUGAAUGCCGUGUACAAUAUGAGAUUGCUGGAGGGAUCAACAGAUCAUAAGAAAAGCUCCCUGGGACCUUUCUCUCUCAAGUUUGACGUUCACAAGAAGAGGCACGCUGCUAGAAAAGACCGUACCGAUCAAGCAUCAACGUGGCAGUUGUCUCGUUU
This 477-nucleotide unclassified non-coding RNA is filed under the name Hevea brasiliensis (rubber tree). The record is from RNAcentral. Lineage: Eukaryota; Viridiplantae; Streptophyta; Magnoliopsida; Malpighiales; Euphorbiaceae.